RNAcentral lists this long non-coding RNA (366 nucleotides) under Elaeis guineensis (African oil palm). RNAcentral's name for it is "long non-coding RNA (EGUI_LNC031402)". The record is from RNAcentral. Lineage: Eukaryota; Viridiplantae; Streptophyta; Magnoliopsida; Arecales; Arecaceae.
AAGGAAGAAGUUAAAACAAUCAAAGAGAUCAACCACUUCAUCUUCUUCAAGAAUUUAAAGAGUUUACUAUUUUGAACUUUAAAUUUUUGUAUACCUUUCUUAAUUUAUUAUGACAAGUUUCUUCAAGAAAAAAAUUUUGGAUUGAUCCAAGCUUUAAGUUGGAUAUUGUAAGGUUAGAUUGGUGACCUCGUGAAAACCAACUGAAUUGAUUGUGACCCUGAAAAAUAAUCGGAUAUAAGGUUGUAGUUGAUAAUCAUGUGAAAAUUAAUUGAAUUGAAUUAUGAAGUUAAAAAAAUAAUUGGACUAUAAUCUUGAGGGGUUAUAGUUGAAAUUUUUAAGUGGGUUGACUUGGAGAGUGGAUGUAGG